UCCAUGUGUGUAUUGAAAAAAAAUGAAUAUCUUGGCAUCACUGAUGUCAAAGAAUCAGUCCUUUGGUUGUUGUCUUUAGUCAGAGCCAAAAAAUUAUCACCAGAUAUAUCAAGGAGCUCACCACCUGUAUUUUUCUCUUGAGUUUUGUGAUUUCAAGUCUUAUGUAUUAAAAUCCAUGAAAAGAAAAAAAAGAAUUUAUUUCUAAUUUUCCCAAAUAUCUUCCAAGAGAAAAUCAGUGCAAUUGCUUCAUAUACAAAGAGAAUAAUAAGCAAGGAGUUGGAUGACAAUGCUGGAUAAAAAUGGAGCAAGAGUUAAAGAAUAGUUUAUGAUGAAUGUCAUCAAGCUAUUAAGCACAUGCAUAAACCCCAUUAUGUAUGGAAGACAUGGGUUUUGAAAUC
This is a long non-coding RNA of Talpa occidentalis (Iberian mole), 398 nucleotides long. RefSeq lists it as uncharacterized. Lineage: Eukaryota; Metazoa; Chordata; Mammalia; Eulipotyphla; Talpidae. The record is from RefSeq and is a predicted model, not a curated record. The transcript is spliced from 4 exons.